RNAcentral lists this long non-coding RNA (778 nucleotides) under Zalophus californianus (California sea lion). RNAcentral describes it as "lncRNA (ENSZCAG00015013931.1)". Lineage: Eukaryota; Metazoa; Chordata; Mammalia; Carnivora; Otariidae. The record is from RNAcentral.
AGUUUCAGGUGACUUCAGGAAUGUGGAGAAAUACUUUGCCCAUUCCCUGAGAAAAAGCUUCGUUAUUUUUCUUCAUAUGAAUUCUGCUCCCAGUGAUUGACUCGUGUAUUAGCGUUUUGAGACCAAAAACUUUUCAGCAGACUGUUUUUCUAGGGUAAAGCUUUACUUAUCACAGUCUGUGUUUUCUUCACUCAGGCCCCAUUGCCACUGAUUAGAAGGAAUAGGUGAUUUUGAAAGUUUCUAAUCAACAAUGGCUACUUGCCUCAAUUUGGCUAAGGCAUCCUCCUCUGACCGAAGGAAGAAUCUUCAAAUCACCGAUGGCUGGCAGCCCCAAAGGGUGCAUAGAUGAAGAUCCAAGAUCAACUUAGGAUCAGAGACCAACUCCACUUUGGACUGGUGCAACAAAUCCCCAGGACAAAAUGGCAAAACCGAAAGCGAAGUUUCGUCCUAUGUUUAGUCCCAAUUAUGAGACACAAAUCUUGACAUACUCCUGCCUGUGCUUGUGACAUUUGACAGAAAAAAAUUUAAGGUUUGCAGAGCUGCUCCUGGAUCAAGCAGCUUGAUUAGAGGAAUUUGAAACUUUAGAUCAUGAAAGAGCUUACUCUGAACUGUCACAGCCGGUAAUGCCUAAUGAUGUAAGCAAGGUGGACGUGGUAAAGUCUUCAAGGUUCGUAUUCACAAAUGUACUAGCUAAAGAAGUGAUAGACUCAUCUGUUGAUAUCUGAGAUGGAUAAUGAGGAUAAGCCAUGCAAGAAUCUUCCAGAAAAUUGAAUUCAUC